RNAcentral lists this ribosomal RNA (465 nucleotides) under uncultured Klebsiella sp. Its description in RNAcentral is "bacterial SSU rRNA". It matches the Rfam family "Bacterial small subunit ribosomal RNA", at positions 338 to 795 of the family's 1533-position model. The record is from RNAcentral. Lineage: Bacteria; Pseudomonadati; Pseudomonadota; Gammaproteobacteria; Enterobacterales; Enterobacteriaceae.
CCUACGGGGGGCUGCAGUGGGGAAUAUUGCACAAUGGGCGCAAGCCUGAUGCAGCCAUGCCGCGUGUGUGGAGAAGGCCUUCGGGUUGUAAAGCACUUUCAGCGGGGAGGAAGGCGGUGAGGUUAAUAACCUCAUCGAUUGACGUUACCCGCAGAAGAAGCACCGGCUAACUCCGUGCCAGCAGCCGCGGUAAUACGGAGGGUGCAAGCGUUAAUCGGAAUUACCGGGCGUAAAGCGCACGCAGGCGGUCUGUCAAGUCGGAUGUGAAAUCCCCGGGCUCAACCUGGGAACUGCAUUCGAAACUGGCAGGCUAGAGUCUUGUAGAGGGGGGUAGAAUUCCAGGUGUAGCGGUGAAAUGCGUAGAGAUCUGGAGGAAUACCGGUGGCGAAGGCGGCCCCCUGGACAAAGACUGACGCUCAGGUGCGAAAGCGUGGGGAGCAAACAGGAUUAGAUACCCGGGUAGUC